AGGGAGGGACAGACUUGUUAUAAAGAAUUACCAAUAGUUUUUUUACACUUAACAGAUUUACCUGUGACGUCUGUGACAAGAUGUUUUUGAACAAGGUGCACGCAGAUCUGUGCUACAAAAAUCAUUUGGACAUGUGCAUCCAGCCUCCGCCGCAUGUACCAGGGCCGUCAGAAAAUAUUCCCUGCAGAAAUUAAUGUGUAAUGUUUUAUUUGAGCCUUACCUUAAGUUAUCCCACUCCCAUGAUAAUAUCUUUACAUUACGGUGGAAUGAGGCUAUCUCAGCUUGGCGUGAUCCUGCGACUAAAGAGUACAAUAGUUUUUCCGGCGAGCGACCAGGGAGAUUCGUCUGGCAGUGUUACUAUCGUUUUCAGUAGAAGCGUUCGCUUAUAUGGGCAAACACUUCUGGACCGUUCGCCUUCCACGAAGUGCUGCUGAAAACGCCUUAAUAAAAGUGACGGGGGAGUCUGCACGCUGUUGACAUGGCAAGUAACUGUAUCCAGUGGAAACGUAGCGAAGGUGAGACGGGAGAGAAGGAAGACGUGGACCGCAUGAUGGUGGGGCCUUUUCCAGCACCAAUGCUGGAGGUUGAGGAGGUGUCCCUGUCUGAUUCGCUACUCAAGUACAGAAGUAUUUGGCCCAGCUGACUCGACAAGAACACAAGGGAGAGGCGGGAAGCUUGGUGGCAUGGAGAAGCAGGUGGGAACUGCUGCUUCACCUCCACCCUUGCUGAUGACUCCUACAGCGAAAGCGCCCAGACGCCACCACAUCCCACAACCACCGCCACCACCUUCGAGAACAGUUGCUACAGGUCACUGCUCGACAGCGAUGUAGUAAGUGAUGAUGACAGUGAUUGGAGGGAGGAUGAAUGGCCCCAGGAUCGGCCGCUGCCACUGCCGGAGUGGGGAAGGGAGCGCGCAUCACUAGCCUUUGCCUCAUUACGCGACUACAUGAGUUUCCUGAGCAGAGUCGCAAGCCACCAGCGUCAAACCAUCUCUAUUCAUCCCUACGACUCCGUGUCCAAUUUUAUCGAGUUCUCAGAAGAAUACAUGGCGUCAGAAUUCACCAGCUUGCAGGAAUUCUACCGCUACUACGACCCGCCGCUGGUGUCUGGUCGGUACUCCUGCGUGGGUCUCGCUGCUGAUCUCGCCUCCCGCCUCGCUUACCUGGAAGGGCACUAUCCAGGUUUCAAGGACGCCAUCUAUCAGGUAUCAUGUGAGGAAGAGCUCAAAGAUGAUUAUAUCGGGAGGAUGAUAUCAUCAGGACAGAUCACCACGACCACAUGCAUCAAAGAACACAUGCUUCUGUGUGUGCGUGUAUGUGUAGAGGGACGUGCUGGGGUUGUGCUUCUAGAUCCGGGUUAUCACUUACCUCAUCCUGUCACUGUAAUGGAAGAUGGACUGUCCCCUCACUCCGGUCCGGUAAACGCCGCCACCGCUCGCUCUAAUGUUGUCAGAACUUACAGGUAUUAUUUUGGACCGUCCUCCUCCCCUCCUCCUCCUCCUCCUCCUCCUUCGUCAUCUGGGAAGUAGAGGAAAACAGGAGUGGACGCAUCACAUUAUUCAAGAACAUUAUCCACGUCUCCCGCCCGUUCCUCUCGGGAGUGAACGUGACGGAAAGACGCAACUUGCCCUACCACUUCAGGAUACUGCUCGGACGUGACGCCUCGGGAAAGUUCACGACGGGUUUAUAUUUUCAUAUCAAGCCAGCUCCCGCCUCCACAAUCGUCACAUUCCUCCACAAGGUUGACGGGGAAAUGAAGCACGUCAAGAAGCCAAUUGAUUAUUUCCUCCCGCAAGACGCAGAGGAGGAAGCGGGGAAGAAAGGAAACCAGGUAAAAGAUGGAAAGGAACUGAAUAAGAAGCGCAAUGUAGAACAGGAAGUAUGGAAGAGAGAGGAAGGUAACAAGGAGAAGAAUGAAGGGAAAGUGGACAAGGAGGUAGAGCGCGCAGUGAUGGCAAUUGAGGACGGCUUAGGGCGAGUACGGGGUGAGGUGCAACGUACUCUGGUCACUCUCGCCUGCCUCCUGAAAGAUGAAAAGUAUGUUGCUGAAUUUUGCAAGCUCAAUAAUGAAAUAGAGAUCCUGCGAAGGGCUUGAAACACACACACACACACACACACACACACACACACACACACACACACACACACACACACACAGAACGCGUGGUGUAGUGGUUAGCACACUUAGCUCAUAAUUGAGAAGGUCCGGGUUCG
This 2213-nucleotide unclassified non-coding RNA is filed under the name Portunus trituberculatus (swimming crab). Its description in RNAcentral is "uncharacterized LOC123514300, transcript variant X3". The stretch from base 2157 to 2213 matches the Rfam family "tRNA", at positions 1 to 55 of the family's 71-position model. The record is from RNAcentral. Lineage: Eukaryota; Metazoa; Arthropoda; Malacostraca; Decapoda; Portunidae.